Molecule: non-coding RNA, 84 nt
Organism: Bombyx mori (domestic silkworm)
Lineage: Eukaryota; Metazoa; Arthropoda; Insecta; Lepidoptera; Bombycidae
Source: Rfam
UUAGCUCAUAUUUGUAUGGAGUGGGAUCGUUUGCGUACGUUUGCCGCUAGGGGCGCUGUUCCAACUGCAUACAAAAUUGGGUUA